This 72-nucleotide transfer RNA is filed under the name Camelus dromedarius (Arabian camel). It matches the Rfam family "tRNA". Rfam says of the family: Transfer RNA (tRNA) molecules are approximately 80 nucleotides in length. Lineage: Eukaryota; Metazoa; Chordata; Mammalia; Artiodactyla; Camelidae. The record is from Rfam by way of RNAcentral. RNAcentral also lists the same sequence under 1 other name.
GAGGAUAUAGCUCAGUGGUAGAGCACAUGCUUAGCAUGCACAGGCUCCUGGGUUCAAUCCCCAGUACUUCCA